CUUAGUGGCGGACGGGUGAGUAACGCGUGGGUAACCUGCCUUAUACAGGGGGAUAACACUUAGAAAUAGGUGCUAAUACCGCAUAAGCGCACGGGGCUGCAUGGCCCAGUGUGAAAAACUCCGGUGGUAUAAGAUGGACCCGCGUCUGAUUAGCUUGUUGGCGGGGUAACGGCCCACCAAGGCGACGAUCAGUAGCCGGCCUGAGAGGGUGGACGGCCACAUUGGGACUGAGACACGGCCCAAACUCCUACGGAAGGCAGCAG
This 263-nucleotide ribosomal RNA is filed under the name uncultured bacterium. Its description in RNAcentral is "partial 16S ribosomal RNA". It matches the Rfam family "Bacterial small subunit ribosomal RNA", at positions 91 to 354 of the family's 1533-position model. The record is from RNAcentral.